RNAcentral lists this ribosomal RNA (254 nucleotides) under uncultured bacterium. Its description in RNAcentral is "partial 16S ribosomal RNA". It matches the Rfam family "Bacterial small subunit ribosomal RNA", at positions 524 to 776 of the family's 1533-position model. The record is from RNAcentral.
GACAGAGGGUGCAAACGUUGUUCGGAAUUACUGGGCGUAAAGCGCGUGUAGGCGGGUCGUUAAGUGUCCGAGUGAAAUCCCACGGCUCAACCGUGGAACUGCCGGGCAUACUGGCGAUCUUGAGGCAUUCAGGGGCGAGCGGAACAAAUGGUGGAGCGGUGAAAUGCGUAGAUAUCAUUUGGAACGCCAAUGGUGAAAACAGCUCGCUGGGAAUGAUCUGACGCUGAGACGCGAAAGCCAGGGGAGCGAACGGG